Lepisosteus oculatus (spotted gar) is the source of this 1938-nucleotide long non-coding RNA. RefSeq lists it as uncharacterized. The record is from RefSeq and is a predicted model, not a curated record. NCBI's taxonomy places the organism in Eukaryota, Metazoa, Chordata, Actinopteri, Semionotiformes, Lepisosteidae.
AUUUCUGGUUUGGAGAUAUAAAAUCUGGUCAGCAAGAUGUGCAAUUCUCUGCAAUGUCUGGAUCAAUAAGGUAUCUAUCUAAAGCAUGAAUAGACUGAUACGGUAUAAGGGAGAUCAUGCGAAAGCACGCUAAGGGGACGAAAAAUACAGUACAAGACAAACUUUCCGUGUUUCUCCUUCCUGAGGAUCCGUGCUGCUGCAUUGUGAACAAGUGGUGGGGAUUUAUUGUUUGGCACUUGGUCCCAAAGGAUGGAGAGAGUUUGAGUAAGGGAGAAGUAACUGGGUGAGGUCUCUGUAACAGUUAGGUCAGGGUGAGUGAAAAACAAUUUCUCAGUUAUAGACGAGGACUGGCUGGAUUAAAGGAUAUACAGGAAUCAUAUUUCCAUGCUGGUCUGUCAGAAUGUAAGAUGAUUGAAGUCCCUGAUUAAAGUGUAGGACGAUCAUUAAGUUGAGUGCUUUAGAAGUUUUUGAGGGUUUCAGAAGAUCUAUUCCAAGCUACAAGAGGACAUGUUUUGUCUCUUGGAGUCACAAAUAGACGCUGUGGCCCUUUGCUCUGUUUGCUGUUUCCAUAAAAGAAAUAGGCAAUCAUGUAAUAAAUACGUGCCCUGCGGUCUGUCAAAUUACUUGUUUAAAAUUAGGCUUCCUGGAAAAAGUGAACCACUUGUUUUCAGAGCUCUGUGUGUUCUUUGUUUAAGGGAGCUGUUAGAAACAUACUGUAGAUAACUCAUUGUUUAGAUGACCCGUUUCACAUGAGCUUGCUGGAGUUUAAAAUAUUAAAUAUCAGUUUGAGCUGUCUGUCUGUGGGCCCCUCACUAUGCAGCUGAACAAGUGUCGAAGGAGGCAGGAAACAGUUGGAGGAAAUAAACUAAAACAUCCUGGAUAUCCCUUCCUUCUUACCAUGGUACUGUAGAUAAGAGCAGAGCACAGCCCCUCUGUCUCGGUUUGCAGGAACCAUUCACAGCUUAAAUAUCACGUAAUGUAAGAUAAGACCGUCCAACAGUCAUAUCCCAUGUUUCUUACCUAGGCUUAAUAGAUAAGUACAACAAAGUACUGUAGAUCACCCCUGAUACACAUAAGUAUAUCAAAUAAAUUAUUUUGUUUUUAAUCUACUGUAGUGAAAGUUAAAGAAUUCUCUCUGGAGUAUGGCCUUGGUCUAGGUUUUCAUGGUUUGCUGAACACAAUGAGGAACAGACUGACGGAAAGGAAGAACAGAGUGAAAGAAAGAGCCAACAAGGAAACAACAGACCAAAAACAAGAGAGCAGUUCCGUGAGUGUGCUGUGGACCUCCUUACCUAUGCACACCUGAGAGUCAGGGCUCUGGAGGAGGGCAGUGCCACUACUACGGCCCCAGAGGAGAUCAGGGCCACCAGAAAACUAAAUCAGGUGGAGCCUGUGUGACCCUUAACUGCUUGUGUGACAUCUGCCAGCAUGCACAACUAGUCCAACUGCUACGCAGUUACACUCCUAAAGGUCACUCUCAAUCCAGAUCUGCUGGUUUGCGAAUCUGAAUCAGAGGAGGGCAGGAAUGGGGGAGUGUCAUCAGACAGUGUCAGAAGGUCACGACCACUGAUCUUCUGGCCCUACAUCUUAUCAGUCACAUGUUUACGCAAAGCUGAUUCCAUUCCAGAGGACCCUUCGCACUCUUCCUUUAAGAACAUCCGAUUACUCCCCUCUGAACAGCUACUGACUUCACCCUCUGAAAACAAACAAGUUUUCAUUUAGACCUCACCCUGCUCAGCAGGUGAUUCUCUCGGACAUGUAAACAGUAUGUGUGUUGUUUAUUUGUGUGUUUUUCUUUAUUUUGUUUGCUGCUGUAAAACAAAUUGGCCCCUGGGGAUAAUAAAGACUGUCUCCCUAAUGAAAGAAGCCACUGUAACAGCUUGAGAAUAAUGGGAGGAUAGUUUGUUUCAUACUUACACAACCCUUUGUGUAAAUCAG